RNAcentral lists this ribosomal RNA (253 nucleotides) under uncultured bacterium. Its description in RNAcentral is "partial 16S ribosomal RNA". It matches the Rfam family "Bacterial small subunit ribosomal RNA", at positions 524 to 776 of the family's 1533-position model. The record is from RNAcentral.
UACGAAGGGAGCUAGCGUUGUUCGGAAUCACUGGGCGUAAAGCGCACGUAGGCGGAUGUGUCAGUCAGGGGUGAAAUCCCGGAGCUCAACUUCGGAACUGCCUUUGAUACAGCACGUCUUGAGUCCGAUAGAGGUGGGUGGAAUUCCUAGUGUAGAGGUGAAAUUCGUAGAUAUUAGGAAGAACGCCGGUGGCGAAGGCGGCCCACUGGAUCGGUACUGACGCUGAGGUGCGAAAGCGUGGGGAGCAAACAGG